Long non-coding RNA from Astatotilapia calliptera (eastern happy), 1943 nucleotides. The record is from Ensembl. Lineage: Eukaryota; Metazoa; Chordata; Actinopteri; Cichliformes; Cichlidae.
UAAUAAUAAUAGUGCUAAUAAUACUAAUAGUAGAUUAUAAUAAUAUCAAUAAUGGAUAAUAGUUAAUAAUAUAGAAAUAAAAUAGAAUAAUAUAGGAAAUAAAAUAAAAUAAAAUACAAUAAAUUAAUAUAGGAUUAAAUAGGCUCUUCCUUCUCUUUUCUUUCUCUCUCUCUCUCUCUCUCUUUUUUUCUCUCUCUCUCUCUCUCUUUCUCACCUCUUUUUUUAAAUUAGUGGGAACAAAAUGGCUGCCUGUGCUCAUCAGGAUCCAAAAUGGUGGUCCAGCUGGACAUGGACUGGUUGCCCCUGGUGACAAGAAGAUGGAAGACCCAAGAUGGUGGAGGAACUCAUCCAGAUCCAAUAUGGCGGUUCGUUGUAAACAAAUACAGUCGCCCUUGGUUACAAAAUGGUGGAGGGCUAAUGCUAAUGCUAAGCUAAUGCUAACAAUUAUAUGACAGUGACACAUGAUAUAGGACAAUAUGUACAUGUGACUAGUCAACUUUAUAUUGAAUUUUGUUGAUGCUAAUAUGGAAGCUAACAUUACACUAUGGCUAAAGCUAAUGAUCCAAGAUGGCGAUUAUAAACAAAAUGGUUACCGUGGAGAGAAGAUGGCGGAUUUCAAAAUGGCAGUUCAAGGAUACAAAAGUGGUUGCCCUGGAUACUGACCAAGUGCAUGAUGGGAACCAGGAAGUCAGACCAGGCAGAGCACAUGGAGCUCAGGGAGCAGCUGGCAGACAGGUCAGGCAGGGAGGAAGCCUCAUUUGAAGAACAAGGUACAAGUAAGUGGGAAUACAUGAUAACAAAUAUAGGAAACGUAUGAAGGAGAAGCAUCUAUGUGAUGAUAUUAAUACUUUAACUUUGUAGAAGCUAAAAGCGAAUAAUUGUGAGCUAAUGAGUAAAAUUUUCAAAGUCACGUACAUACGUUAGAUUUCCAUGAGCCCAAAUAGGGCCUCGUUAGCUCUUUAAAAUGCGGCUCAACAAGACAGUAUGUCAUUAAAUGUGAACAACAAUUAACGGUACAACAGGAAUACUUGAUUUUGGAUGGUUUUAUUGAAAUGAAGAUAAAACGACUAUCGUUAGGAUUUUACAAAAUCACAGCACCUCGUUGGAUUUGGACUGGACUUGACAGGGCCUAAUUGGCCCCUUGGAAACUUUAAAAAUUAAAGCCCAGAUAGGCAUUAAUUAAUUACUGUUAUUUUAUUUAGUUGAAUUGUGAACUAAUGAGUCAAAUUUUCAAAGUCACGUAUAUACGUUAGACUUCCAUGAGCCCAAAUAGGGCCUCAUUAACUCUUUGAAAUGCGACUCAACAAGACAGUAUGUCAUUAAAUGUGAACAACAAUUAACGGUACAACAUUGACCCCUUGGAAACUUUAAAAAUUAAAGCCCAGAAAGGCAUUAAUUAAUUACUGUUAUUUUAUUUAGUUGAUGACACACCCCAAGGCUUGAUCAACCUGGGCGGGGCCUUCCUUGGAAGAGGGUGUCUAGUGAUAAAUGGCCGAAACACCCAAUGAUUCCAAGGUCCACUACUGAUGAUGUGUCCUUAAAUAUUACCUUAAAAAAUUAAAAUACACAAUAAUGUCAAAUUAAGGAGACAAUAAAAAGAUAAUACAAUAAAAUAAAUAAAAAGAAAACGUAACAAUGAUAAAGGAUUGAAAAGAACAUAGAUCCUGACUAAGAAAAGUAUUUAAACAAUAGGUUAAGUGUGUAAAUGAAGGGCACCAUAUAAAUGGGGAGUGGCCAAAAGUGCUGUCUCAGGGCCUCCUGGGGGCAAGCUGGUCACUUCUCAAGGACAGAAGGAGGAGGACUGAGACGGGGAAGGGAGAUGGGGACUGAGCAUGACGUGCGGUGGCCCGUGCCUUUCCAGUGGCCCUCCAUCCAACCACCCAGUCGUCGGACGAAGUGGGGAGGGAUCAUUGCGUUUUCUCUCACAAACCCUAACCCUACCC